UACGCACCGAGGAAGAACUUGUUCUUCCAACGUGAGUGGCGAACGGGUGAGUAACACGUGGGAAACCUACCCUUUAGCGGGGGAUAACAGUCGGAAACGACUGCUAAUACCGCAUAGAUCUUUUCUUCACCUGGAGGAAAGCGGAAAGGUGGCUUUAUGCUACCACUAAAGGAUGGUCCCGUGGUGCAUUAGCUAGAUGGUAAGGUAACGGCUUACCAUGGCCAUGAUGCAUAGCCGACCUGAGAGGGUAAUCGGCCACAUUGGGACUGAGACACGGCCCAAACUCC
Molecule: ribosomal RNA, 287 nt
Filed under: unidentified marine bacterioplankton
Lineage: Bacteria
Description: partial 16S ribosomal RNA
Rfam family: Bacterial small subunit ribosomal RNA
Source: RNAcentral